Non-coding RNA from Drosophila suzukii, 642 nucleotides. Lineage: Eukaryota; Metazoa; Arthropoda; Insecta; Diptera; Drosophilidae. The record is from RefSeq and is a predicted model, not a curated record.
CUAUAGUGUGCCACGAAAACAUUGACAGAUCGCCUGUUUAGGCCCCAGAGCCGAGAAGUCAGAGCCAAGUCGGCGAAGACGGAGCCGCCAUUAACGCAAAUGACUCUGCAAAAUGGCGGCCAUAUUAGGCAAGAAGCCCAUGCCCAAGACCCGAGACUCCAGACCCAGUACCAGUAACACUACCUCUGCCUUAACAUCUACCAGCCCCAGUCGGUUGGUCUAACCCAACCAGAAAUUACGGGCCCAGUCUGGUUUGACAAGCGCAUGUUGAUUGGGGCAGCGAGAUUGGCAAACGGCAACCACUGUUGCCACGUUACCACGAUGAUGAUGUCCAAAAUGACGAUGAUGACGGCGAAGGCGAUGAUGGCGAUGAUUACGAUGAUGGGGGGCGCAGUUGCCGCCGCUGACAGUGAUGACUGUCAAGAGCAAUUAAAGUCAAACUCAAGUCCGGGGAACUUAGAUUUUUCGCCGCCGCAAAACGCAGCUGCGCAUGGUCAGUGGACCAUCCAUCCAUCUAUCCAUCCAUCGGACUAGCCCCGGACGUGAGCUGACGUCCAGCCAAAUGCAACAGCCGUACACUCUGAAAAAGUUCCCGGACUUUAUAAACAAUAAAUACUCAUAAAGAUAAGGGAGAUACCAAAA